UUAGGUGGCCAUGGCAACGGGGCCCACCCCUCCCCAUUCCGAACAGGGAAGUUAAGCCCGUUAGCGCCGAUGGUACUGCUACACCAAGUGGGAGAGUAGGUCGCCGCCUUCC
Croceitalea dokdonensis DOKDO 023 is the source of this 112-nucleotide ribosomal RNA. The record is from Rfam. Lineage: Bacteria; Pseudomonadati; Bacteroidota; Flavobacteriia; Flavobacteriales; Flavobacteriaceae.